AACGGUCUAUACCUGCGGUACCUGCGGAGGGAUCAUUAAAUGAAACUGCCUCACAGGCAACCAAUGCACUACGGACUGGUGAAUGCCAGUCUAAUGUGUAUUACCAUUUGUUGAAACACUUUUUUCUGCUUUGGCAGCACCUGACGCCUAACCGCGAAGGGGUAAGGCUGUCAAAAGCCCAUAUUAAAACCAGUUGAUGAAAUGUCAUGCUGUCUGAUACUUUGUAUUUGAGAAAUCAAA
Molecule: unclassified non-coding RNA, 240 nt
Filed under: soil metagenome
Description: partial contains 5.8S ribosomal RNA, internal transcribed spacer 2, and large subunit ribosomal RNA
Source: RNAcentral